This 253-nucleotide ribosomal RNA is filed under the name uncultured bacterium. Its description in RNAcentral is "partial 16S ribosomal RNA". It matches the Rfam family "Bacterial small subunit ribosomal RNA", at positions 524 to 776 of the family's 1533-position model. The record is from RNAcentral.
UACGUAGGGGGCAAGCGUUGUCCGGAAUCAUUGGGCGUAAAGAGCGCGUAGGCGGUCCGGUAAGUCCGCUGUGAAAGUCGGGGGCUCAACCCUCGAAUGCCGGUGGAUACUGCCGGGCUAGAGUCCGGAAGAGGCGAGUGGAAUUCCUGGUGUAGCGGUGAAAUGCGCAGAUAUCAGGAGGAACACCGGUGGCGAAGGCGGUUUCCUGGCCGAGUACUGACGCUGAGGCACGAAAGCGUGGGGAGCGAACGGG